Molecule: ribosomal RNA, 460 nt
Filed under: uncultured bacterium
Lineage: Bacteria
Description: partial 16S ribosomal RNA
Rfam family: Bacterial small subunit ribosomal RNA
Source: RNAcentral
CCUACGGAGGGCAGCAGUGAGGAAUAUUGGUCAAUGGGCUUACGCCUGAACCAGCCAAGUCGCGUGAGGGAAGACUGCCCUAUGGGUUGUAAACCUCUUUUGUCAGGGAGCAACGCCGGCUACGUGUAGCCGGACUGAGAGUACCUGAAGAAAAAGCAUCGGCUAACUCCGUGCCAGCAGCCGCGGUAAUACGGAGGAUGCGAGCGUUAUCCGGAUUUAUUGGGUUUAAAGGGUGCGUAGGCGGAAUGCCAAGUCAGCGGUAAAAUCGCGGGGCUCAACCUCGCUCCGCCGUUGAAACUGGCGCUCUUGAGUGGGCGAGAAGUAUGCGGAAUGCGUGGUGUAGCGGUGAAAUGCAUAGAUAUCACGCAGAACUCCGAUUGCGAAGGCAGCAUACCGGCGCCCAACUGACGCUGAAGCACGAAAGCGUGGGUAUCGAACAGGAUUAGAUACCCCAGUAGUC